Molecule: small RNA, 572 nt
Filed under: Pan troglodytes (chimpanzee)
Lineage: Eukaryota; Metazoa; Chordata; Mammalia; Primates; Hominidae
Description: processed transcript
Source: RNAcentral
CAGGAGCUGCUGGGCUGGAGCGGCGGCGCCGCCAUGUCCGACAGCGAGAAGCUCAACCUGGACUCGAUCAUCGGGCGCCUGCUGGAAGUGCAGGGCUCGCGGCCUGGCAAGAAUGUACAGCUGACAGAGAACGAGAUCCGCGGUCUGUGCCUGAAAUCCCGGGAGAUUUUCCUGAGCCAGCCCAUUCUUCUGGAGCUGGAGGCACCCCUCAAGAUCUGCGGUGAGCCCCCGGCCCAGGUCCCCUUGCCUUCCUAAAAGUGGCACUGGACCCCACAGAGUUCCUGGAGCCCUCCUCCCUUGAGCCCAGUCCUGGCCCUGGGUUCAGGUCUAGACCUUGCAUCUAGCUUACCCGGUUCCCUGGAUCACAGGUGACAUACACGGCCAGUACUACGACCUUCUGCGACUAUUUGAGUAUGGCGGUUUCCCUCCCGAGAGCAACUACCUCUUUCUGGGGGACUAUGUGGACAGGGGCAAGCAGUCCUUGGAGACCAUCUGCCUGCUGCUGGCCUAUAAGAUCAAGUACCCCGAGAACUUCUUCCUGCUCCGUGGGAACCACGAGUGUGCCAGCAUCA